GAAGAAACAUAAAUAUCUGGUGUGAAGAGAACCAGUGGAGAGUUGGUCAGGUGUCUUGGUAAGUAUAGGCAUAACUUAGAGGUGGAACGGUACAUG
Molecule: non-coding RNA, 96 nt
Organism: Pimephales promelas (fathead minnow)
Lineage: Eukaryota; Metazoa; Chordata; Actinopteri; Cypriniformes; Leuciscidae
Source: RefSeq, a predicted model, not a curated record